RNAcentral lists this ribosomal RNA (240 nucleotides) under uncultured bacterium. Its description in RNAcentral is "partial 16S ribosomal RNA". It matches the Rfam family "Bacterial small subunit ribosomal RNA", at positions 523 to 762 of the family's 1533-position model. The record is from RNAcentral.
AUACGGAGGAUGCGAGCGUUAUCCGGAUUCAUUGGGUUUAAAGGGUGCGUAGGCGGACUAUUAAGUCAGUGGUGAAAUCCUGCAGCUUAACUGUGUAACUGCCGUUGAUACUGUUAGUCUUGAGUAUGGUCAAGGUAGGCGGAAUGUGUAAUGUAGCGGUGAAAUGCUUAGAUAUUACACAGAACACCGAUUGCGAAGGCAGCUUACUGGGCCGUUACUGACGCUGAUGCACGAAAGCGU